Molecule: ribosomal RNA, 253 nt
Filed under: uncultured bacterium
Lineage: Bacteria
Description: partial 16S ribosomal RNA
Rfam family: Bacterial small subunit ribosomal RNA
Source: RNAcentral
UACGAGGGGGGCGAGCGUUGUUCGGAAUUAUUGGGCGUAAAGGGUGCGUAGGCGGUUUGGUAAGUCUUGUGUGAAAUCUACAGGCUCAACUUGUAGUCUGCACGAGAAACUGCCGGGCUUGAGUAUGGGAGAGGUGAGUGGAAUUCCUGGUGUAGCGGUGAAGUGCGUAGAUAUCAGGAGGAACACCUGUGGCGAAAGCGGCUCACUGGACCAUAACUGACGCUGAUGCACGAAAGCUAGGGGAGCAAACAGG